UUUGGUUAAGCUAAUAAGAGCACACGGAGGAUGCCUAGGCACCAGGAGCCGAAGAAGGACGUGGCGAACGACGAAAUGCCUCGGGGAGCCGUAAGCAGGCUUUGAUCCGGGGAUGUCCGAAUGGGGAAACCCGCAUGCGGUAAUUCGCAUGUACUCAUUACUGAAUACAUAGGUAAUGUAGAGGCAGACGAGGGGAACUGAAACAUCUAAGUACCCUCAGGAAAAGAAAACAAAAGUGAUUCCGUCAGUAGCGGCGAGCGAAAGCGGAUUAGCCCAAACCAGGGGGCUUGCCCCCUGGGGUUGUGGGACGUCAAUAUGGGUUUAGCAGCGUAGGUGAAGCGGUCUGGAAAGGCCGGCCAAAGAAGGUAACAGCCCUGUAGCUGAAAUGCUGCGAAAACCCUAGACGGAUCCCGAGUACCGCGAGACACGUGAAACCUCGUGGGAAUCCGGCAGGACCAUCUGCCAAGGCUAAAUACUCCCUGGUGACCGAUAGUGAAGCAGUACCGUGAGGGAAAGGUGAAAAGAACCGCGGGAGCGGAGUGAAAUAGAACCUGAAACCGUGUGCUUACAAGAAGUCAGAGC
This 582-nucleotide ribosomal RNA is filed under the name Paenibacillus cremeus. RNAcentral's name for it is "Paenibacillus sp. JC52 partial 23S ribosomal RNA". It matches the Rfam family "Bacterial large subunit ribosomal RNA", at positions 1 to 580 of the family's 2925-position model. Lineage: Bacteria; Bacillati; Bacillota; Bacilli; Caryophanales; Paenibacillaceae. The record is from RNAcentral.